UCGAGCGAUGAUGAAGAAGCUUGCUUCUUCUGAUUUAGCGGCGGACGGGUGAGUAACACGUGGGCAACCUACCUAGUAGAUUGGGAUAACUCCGGGAAACCGGGGCUAAUACCGAAUAAUCCAUUUUGUCACAUGGCAAAAUGCUGAAAGGCGGUUUCGGCUGUCACUACUAGAUGGGCCCGCGGUGCAUUAGCUAGUUGGUGGGGUAACGGCCUACCAAGGCAACGAUGCAUAGCCGACCUGAGAGGGUGAUCGGCCACAUUGGGACUGAGACACGGCCCAAACUCCUACGGGAGGCAGCAGUAGGGAAUCUUCCACAAUGGACGAAAGUCUGAUGGAGCAACGCCGCGUGAGUGAUGAAGGUUUUCGGAUCGUAAAACUCUGUUGUAAGGGAAGAACAAGUACGUUAGUAACUGAACGUACCUUGACGGUACCUUAUUAGAAAGCCACGGCUAACUACGUGCCAGCAGCCGCGGUAAUACGUAGGUGGCAAGCGUUGUCCGGAUUUAUUGGGCGUAAAGCGCGCGCAGGUGGUUUCUUAAGUCUGAUGUGAAAGCCCACGGCUCAACCGUGGAGGGUCAUUGGAAACUGGGAGACUUGAGUGCAGAAGAGGAAAGUGGAAUUCCAAGUGUAGCGGUGAAAUGCGUAGAGAUUUGGAGGAACACCAGUGGCGAAGGCGACUUUCUGGUCUGUAACUGACACUG
RNAcentral lists this ribosomal RNA (704 nucleotides) under uncultured Bacillus sp. RNAcentral's name for it is "bacterial SSU rRNA". It matches the Rfam family "Bacterial small subunit ribosomal RNA", at positions 62 to 748 of the family's 1533-position model. The record is from RNAcentral. Lineage: Bacteria; Bacillati; Bacillota; Bacilli; Caryophanales; Bacillaceae.